GCCAAGUAUACAUACAAUGAAUUGCCAAAUUUGACAUAUUAACUCCCUACUUCUUUCUGAUAAACUAGAUAAAUCUCUCCCAACAUCCAGUUAUACCCUUGAGGGAUACCAUAAAUGUUGUGCGUGAGAAUAAAGUUUGACUAAUGUACCACUAAUGAAGUUCACAGGAUUUGGGCCUACUUAGAAGCCAAGGAAUACGACUCAAAUUUUUCAUCUGAUGAUUCCGCACAAAAUCCAAUAGUGACUUGCAAACCUUCAGAGAUCAGCAUCGUACCAGUUAAGAAAAUAAUGUGUUCCAUUUCUGUACAACUCAAGAGUAUUCAAGGGUCCAAAUCACCUUUGGUGAUUUAUCAAUGGUUUUUUUAACUAACCCUGCUUUGCCAGCGCAGCAACUGAACCACAAAAUCACUUACUUUGUGGGGCGACAUAAAAUACCACGCAGACAUGGAAUACCUUUUUAUAAGCUUCAGGAUGGCUACCCCAGCUCCUGGCCUCAGGCUCCCACAAGGGUGGAGUGUCUGUUCUGGAGAUGGCUUCAUUGAGGGAUGCUGUUUCUUAGAACAUUCUGUCCAAAAGAGAGUA
This 582-nucleotide long non-coding RNA is filed under the name Marmota monax (woodchuck). Lineage: Eukaryota; Metazoa; Chordata; Mammalia; Rodentia; Sciuridae. The record is from RNAcentral.